Molecule: small nucleolar RNA, 212 nt
Organism: Zingiber officinale
Lineage: Eukaryota; Viridiplantae; Streptophyta; Magnoliopsida; Zingiberales; Zingiberaceae
Product: small nucleolar RNA U3
Exons: 1
Source: RefSeq, a predicted model, not a curated record
ACGAUCUUACUUGAAUAUGAUCUGUUCUAUAGGCUCGUACAACUAUAUUCUUGAGUGUAAAGGAGAUAGACAACCCACUCUGUUUGAUGAUGUAAGAUCUCGAGAUCAGAGCAUGAUUAACGAUUCUGGUCCCUUGGGAUUCUUAGCUGUAGAGGAUUGUUCCCAGCAAAUCAACGCUUUGCUAGGCUGGUCUCGAGAUUGUCUCACAGACA